AAAUGCAUCAUUCCAUUAAGGACUGAAUGUGAUGAAAAUAAAAUUAUUAGUCUUAAUUAAAAAAAUAAAAAAACAAAAAGGAUCUAAUUGAAACAGAUGUUAAAUGCGGAAGGACCACGAUGGAAAUUCUCUCAUUUUAAAAGAAAACACGCGAAUCCCUGGGUGCGGGUCGGGUCACGCGCAGGUUAUGCAAAACGGCGUCGUUUUGGCUCUAAGUCCCCCAGGUGAAACGACGUCGUUUUAUAUGUGCUAUAAAAGCCAAAAUUUAUUCAAAAUUUCUCAUUUCUCC
This 289-nucleotide long non-coding RNA is filed under the name Gossypium raimondii (Peruvian cotton). Its description in RNAcentral is "long non-coding RNA (GRAI_LNC004803)". Lineage: Eukaryota; Viridiplantae; Streptophyta; Magnoliopsida; Malvales; Malvaceae. The record is from RNAcentral.